UACGGGGGGGGCAAGCGUUGUUCGGAAUUACUGGGCGUAAAGGGCUCGUAGGCGGCCAACUAAGUUGGACGUGAAAUCCCUCGGCUUAACCGGGGAACUGCGUCCGAUACUGGAUGGCUUGAGAUUGGGAGAGGGAUGCGGAAUUCCAGGUGUAGCGGUGAAAUGCGUAGAUAUCUGGAGGAACACCGGUGGCGAAGGCGGCCUUCUGGUCCAGUACUGACACUCAAGUGCGAAAGCGUGGGGAGCAAACAGG
RNAcentral lists this ribosomal RNA (253 nucleotides) under uncultured bacterium. Its description in RNAcentral is "partial 16S ribosomal RNA". It matches the Rfam family "Bacterial small subunit ribosomal RNA", at positions 524 to 776 of the family's 1533-position model. The record is from RNAcentral.